Molecule: non-coding RNA, 144 nt
Organism: Caenorhabditis elegans
Lineage: Eukaryota; Metazoa; Nematoda; Chromadorea; Rhabditida; Rhabditidae
Source: Ensembl
GAGAAGCGAGAGAGCAUAAAAAGUGAAGUGUCGCAGAGAAACGAGCAGGCGAGUAGCCAACGUAGCCCAAGAAGCAGUGAGUGACUAACUUUCAAUUAUUGAUCGGUGGCAGCUAUUGCGGUGGAGCGUCAUUGCUUAUUUUUG